GACGAACGCUGGCGGCGUGCUUAACACAUGCAAGUCGAACGGAAAGGCCCUGCUUUUGUGGGGUGCUCGAGUGGCGAACGGGUGAGUAACACGUGAGUAACCUGCCCUUGACUUUGGGAUAACUUCAGGAAACUGGGGCUAAUACCGGAUAGGAGCUCCUGCUGCAUGGUGGGGGUUGGAAAGUUUCGGCGGUUGGGGAUGGACUCGCGGCUUAUCAGCUUGUUGGUGGGGUAGUGGCUUACCAAGGCUUUGACGGGUAGCCGGCCUGAGGGGGUGACCGGCCACAUUGGGAUUGAGAUACGGCCCAGACUCCUACGGGAGGCAGCAGUGGGGAAUAUUGCACAAUGGGCGGAAGCCUGAUGCAGCAACGCCGCGUGCGGGAUGACGGCCUUCGGGUUGUAAACCGCUUUCGCCUGUGACGAAGCGUGAGUGACGGUAAUGGGUAAAGAAGCACCGGCUAACUACGUG
RNAcentral lists this ribosomal RNA (468 nucleotides) under uncultured bacterium. Its description in RNAcentral is "partial 16S ribosomal RNA". It matches the Rfam family "Bacterial small subunit ribosomal RNA", at positions 28 to 507 of the family's 1533-position model. The record is from RNAcentral.